RNAcentral lists this ribosomal RNA (277 nucleotides) under uncultured bacterium. RNAcentral describes it as "partial 16S ribosomal RNA". It matches the Rfam family "Bacterial small subunit ribosomal RNA", at positions 333 to 607 of the family's 1533-position model. The record is from RNAcentral.
UUCUUCCUACGGGAGGCAGCAGUGAGGAAUAUUGGUCAAUGGACGCAAGUCUGAACCAGCCAUGCCGCGUGCAGGAAGACGGCUCUAUGAGUUGUAAACUUCUUUUGUCAAGGGACAAAAUCAGGCUCGAGAGCCUGACCGAGGGUACUUGAAGAAAAAGCAUCGGCUAACUCCGUGCCAGCAGCCGCGGUAAUACGGAGGAUGCGAGCGUUAUCCGGAUUUAUUGGGUUUAACGGGUGCGCAGGCGGUCUGUUAAGUCAGCGGUCAAAGCCCGGGG